GACGAACGCUGGCGGCGUGCUUAACACAUGCAAGUCGAACGGAAAGGCCCUGCUUUUGUGGGGUGCUCGAGUGGCGAACGGGUGAGUAACACGUGAGUAACCUGCCCUUGACUUUGGGAUAACUUCAGGAAACUGGGGCUAAUACCGGAUAGGAGCUCCUGCUGCAUGGUGGGGGUUGGAAAGUUUCGGCGGUUGGGGAUGGACUCGCGGCUUAUCAGCUUGUUGGUGGGGUAGUGGCUUACCAAGGCUUUGACGGGUAGCCGGCCUGAGAGGGUGACCGGCCACAUUGGGACUGAGAGACGGACCAGACUCCUACGGGAGGCAGCAGGGGGGAAUAUUGCACAGUGGGCGGAAGCCUGAUGCAGCAACGCCGCGUGCGGGAUGACGGCCUUCGGGUUGUAAACCGCUGUCGCCUGUGACGAAGCGUGAGUGACGGUAAUGGGUAAAGAAGCACCGGCUAACUACGUG
This 468-nucleotide ribosomal RNA is filed under the name uncultured bacterium. Its description in RNAcentral is "partial 16S ribosomal RNA". It matches the Rfam family "Bacterial small subunit ribosomal RNA", at positions 28 to 507 of the family's 1533-position model. The record is from RNAcentral.